ACGGCCGCGGUACCCUAACCGUGCAAAGGUAGCACAAUCACUUGUUCUUUAAAUGAGGACUAGAAUCAACGGCAUCACGAGGAUCCCACUGUCUCCCCCCUCCAAUCAGUGAAACUGAUCUCUCCGUGAAGAAGCGGGGAUACAAAUAUAAGACGAGAAGACCCCAUGGAGCUUUAAACCCAACAGCACCCGUUUAUUUUCAUCCUCACAUAAGUUAGGUUA
RNAcentral lists this ribosomal RNA (222 nucleotides) under Boophis elenae. Its description in RNAcentral is "partial 16S ribosomal RNA". It matches the Rfam family "Bacterial large subunit ribosomal RNA", at positions 1927 to 2150 of the family's 2925-position model. The record is from RNAcentral. Lineage: Eukaryota; Metazoa; Chordata; Amphibia; Anura; Mantellidae.